This 276-nucleotide ribosomal RNA is filed under the name uncultured prokaryote. RNAcentral's name for it is "partial 16S ribosomal RNA". It matches the Rfam family "Bacterial small subunit ribosomal RNA", at positions 524 to 800 of the family's 1533-position model. The record is from RNAcentral.
UACGUAGGGGCGAGCGUUGUCCGGAAUUACUAGGCGUAAAGGGCAGGCAGGCGGAUCCAUAAGUUUAUCGUUUAAGGCGUCGGCUUAACCGGCGUAGGGCGGUAGAUACUGUGGAUCUGGAAUGCGGUUGGGGAAGACAGAAUUCCUGGUGUAGCGGUGGAAUGCGCAGAGAUCAGGAGGAAUACCGAAGGCGAAGGCAGUCUUCCAAGCCGUUAUUGACGCUCAACUGCGAAGGUGUGGGUAUCAAACAGGAUUAGAUACCCUGGUAGUCCCUGA